CACGCCCAGGCUCAGGGGUGGGUGGGGGAUCAGUGACAGAAACCUCCAAAGACCUGUUCCUUGGGGUGACUCACAAUGGGGGGAGGGUCCCCCCAUUCUUAGAAUGGCUGGUCAGAAUUUCAGCAGGGAAAAGUGAGUCACCCUGGGAAGGAAACAAUAUUUGGGAGCAACAAUCUCCCCCUCCACAAGGCCCCCCAACUUUUAACAGCCUCUCCAUUCUUUCUUUGUAUCUGUAUAUCUGCUAUCUCUGCUCCUUUCUCUGUUCUACCUCAUUUCUGGUCUGUGGAUCCCUGCUUCUGCCUGUGUGCGCCUCUCUCUCUGGGCAGGCACACCCUCUCUCUCUCUUUCUCACUUCCUCUCCUCUGCCCACCCCAGACUCUUCUUUCUUUUGGCAUAAAUCUUAUCAUCCUCUUCUGCUAUUCUUGCCAGAAUGAGCCAGGAAAGAGAGAAUAUAUUUUUGAAAGGGCACAAAUGGACCUCAUCUCCUAUUUCCACUCUUGCUGGCUGGGCAAGGUGAGAGGAGGGGAAGAGGGUGACUAAGAGGUGACGGAUACCCCCUAAAAUUUAGCGGCCAAGGCCAUUCAGAAAUAUCCAAUGAAAAGGAAAGCCGGCAGAGCCCUUCAAGACCAUGUGCUACACAGCUCCCCACCCCGUGCUCUACAGAAGGGGAAAAUGACUGUCCGACAGGGACAGAGACUGACAAAAUCAUACCAGAGGCCUGGUAAGGAUGGGACCCAGGUUCCUUAGCUCCCAGCCCAGAGCUCUUCCCAUGUCGCCGAGCUAGCUCUCCACUUGUAAAGCGCCACGCCAUUUAAUUCAGAGAAAGUUUACAGAGAGGAUUAGGGUGCCAGGAAGCAGUGACUUUAAAAUCAAACAAGGGACAAGGCUAUUUCCCAGAAGCACUGGAGAAAGGAUUCUUGAACUGGGCAGGUGGUCACCUUAGGCUAUAUUCUCAUUCUGAGAAUCUGAAGUCCCGUGAUUCUAAGCGGUCAGGAAUCUAGAUGCCAGAGAUGUCAAGAUCCAGGAACUCCAAGAAAUCAAGAUGUCACAAUUUUAAAGAUGUCAAGAUGCUAGCAUGCUAACACCGUCAAGGUUUUAGAACUUUAAAGGUAUCAGGAUUCUAAAGACUUCUGGAUUUUAGAAUCCCUAUAGAUGUCAACAUUCUAAACUACCCUCAGGUUCUGUUUACUGGAUUCAUUGGUUCCAGGAUUCUAUGAGCCUAGUUUUUAGCCUAGAAAUUAUAUAAAGAAAAAUAAAAUCUGAUGGAAAUGCAGCUAAGGUACCAACGUUCUCAUUUGGGAAACUGUGGCCUGGCUAUUGCAAAGAAAGGUGGUGAUGAUGAAAGUUUUGAGGCAAUCACAGAAGAGUAUAGAAGAAAGAAAGGCACAGAGUGAGAGGUCAGCCUUGUCCGGAGGCUGGGAGGCUGUUUCAAACCCUGAAGUGGGGACGGCGCAAGCACACUCAAUUUGCCAGAAACCCCCCCACGGUCUGAGCUGGGAUUUGCUUUCAGGCCACUGAGUUCAACAUCCUCACUUUACAGGAGGAGAAACUGAAGCCAGGAGAGAGGGGCAUGUUUACCACCGGCUGGUGUGGCUAAUGGCAAGCGCCAGGAUUUAAACUCAGGCCUGCAGCCCUGUGCCACCUGGUUCCAACGCCUCCCCAAACCUCUACAGAAAUCCAGCCCUCCUGCUUCUGCCCGGCCACCUCCCAAUCAUCUGUUCCUCCCAAGAGUGGCUUUUACCUACAGGGAGCGGGUGACCCGUGACAGUCGCUCCUCCAUCCUUGUGGUGGGAUCUCUCUUGCAGCCUGUUUUCCAAGCGCUGGCCAAGCGGGCAGCGGAACCACGAGGCCCGCGGGAGCAGGGGAUGCUUGUGUCGACCUGGACAACUCUGUACAGUGGCUUCGAUGUGGACGUCAUCCGCCUAAGUAGAGGGGACUGUGGACAGAACCUUGGCCCACACUGGACCCAAUCAGGGUCUCGUGGCUAAAUUUUUAGAAAUGAGACUCAAGUAGUUCUUGGUGCUUAACAUCUCAGUGGGCGUAGUGUGAAGUAGAAGGUAGUCUGUGCAGAGAUGGAAAAAUAAAGUCAAGGUCUAGGAGGGAAAUCACA
Molecule: non-coding RNA, 2110 nt
Organism: Microcebus murinus (gray mouse lemur)
Lineage: Eukaryota; Metazoa; Chordata; Mammalia; Primates; Cheirogaleidae
Source: RefSeq, a predicted model, not a curated record